Homo sapiens (human) is the source of this 3906-nucleotide long non-coding RNA. RefSeq annotates it as ZNF496 divergent transcript. The transcript has 3 exons. NCBI's taxonomy places the organism in Eukaryota, Metazoa, Chordata, Mammalia, Primates, Hominidae. The record is from RefSeq and is marked validated.
GUGGGUCAGCCACGUCGCCGCGCCCGGGCUUCCCCGCGGGCCCGCCGGUCCGGAAGGUCGGCCCGGGGCUCUUUUCUCCGCUGUUCUCCUUCUCUGGCGCCCCCAGGACACGCGGCCAGUGGACGCCCGGAACGGCCGACCGGGAGUCGCGGCUGGGGAUGGAAGCUGGAAUUGGGGGUGCGGGAUGGAGCGGAGAGAGGAGGCCCCGCGCGCCGUCGGCCGCCUCAUUUCAGACUCCCCUGCGACCCCCCCCCCGCCGCCAGCCGAAGCCCGGGCCGCCCAGCCCCUCCUGCCGCUGCGGGACGCCGAAGGUAGCGCUCACAUCCGCGCCUUCCGGGCCUGGCGCCCACGUGCGGAGUCCCCGGGUUAGGAAAGGCCGCGCAUCCGGAGGCCACGCAGAGCCUCGGGGCUUGCGCAGAGGGGCUGCGGUGAGUCCUGACCCUGAGUGGGGGUCACGGGGCUCGUUGCUCGCUGAAGUGAACACGGUUGCAGCUGUGCACAGUGGCGGAGGGAGAGGAUGAGGGACUCUGACCCAAGGUUAUGUGGCAGUGAGGGGCAAGCAGAAAUGGGGGCCUCCGGACCCCACCCCGAGACAGGGCUGCUGGCCGCUGCACUAUGCUGAAUAUAGCCCAAAUUCUUACAUGGGUCGUCCCCGGGGAAUGCUCAUUUUUCAGGCUCCAGAGCUUGAGAGAAAGUGCGAACCCGGUCCCUGAGCAGGUCUGAUUCCCAUGGCCCCUUCGCCAUCUGCUCUGCACCGAAAUUGGAUUCUCCUACGCAGAGGAGAAGGUGGAGAAGAUUCUCCGUCUUCCGGAGGGUAGCUACUGCCGGUAGCUCCGAUUUCCUUCGGAUCCCCUUUCAAGGGCAAGCAGAAGGAAAUCAGUUUCUCCAAAGAAAGUGGCCCGGCUGAGUAAGUGGGAACAAGGUGGUUGGACUGAGGCACGGGAUCCUUUAGCUCCGUUGCUCUUCUAAUCCCGUGGCCCUGGGCACCGCCACUUCCUCCUCUGAACUGCUGGAAUAAUCACUUCUGACUAGCAGAGUUACUGGGAGCCGCUGUUUGUCAGUGUUCACAUUCUGACUUUAGCAGGAGAUGGAGCGAGCGAAGGAGUGAAGCCCUUGUUUGUGAACAGUGAUUGUUUCCCGGAUGACAGCCAGAUGCCGGGCAGGGCCACGCAGAUCUUAGCUGGAGCCUACAGGUUGGGUUUCAGCCGAGCAAGUCUGAGGCCCCUUUCCCGCGCCCUCUGGUGGAAAGUGUUCGCUUUUCUGUCCACCCAUGUGAAGGAUUCACCCCGACCCUCCUCAGGUGGCCUUUACUUUGCAGGAGCAAAGCAAGUUGGAUGAGGAGAUACAUGUAUGUGGCACACAGCUUUCUUCACUUAGCAACACGUCAGAUGCAGCGUAGAUGUGCGGAUGAAACCACCAUUGCAAAAUUAUCACUGAGACAGUCAGAGAAACCUGACAUGGCUGACUCCAUGUUGCUUUUAGCCUCACAGGCUGGCUCUCUUAGCUCAUUCCUAAGCAUGGGCCUGAAACUGCCAUUGCAAAAUCGUAACUGAGACAGCAAAAGAGACUUGACCUAACCAACUCCAUCUUGCUUCUAACCUCCAAGCUGUCCUUGUUCAUUCCUGGGUGUAGGCUGAACUAACUUUGGGAGGAACUUAAUUUAUAGUUUAAAACAAAGACGAUAAGACGAUAACAGCCCUUUCUCAAAACAAACAUCCUUCCUGACUGGGGACUAGACUGCCUUUGUAGGAUUAACAAAUUAGCCACAAGAUCAGAAAUUAUAGUUUAGGAGUCAUGCAGCUGGAGGCUCUAAGAUUGUGACCCUCCCUAAACCGCUCAGUGCUUGAGAUGUUUUACAGACCCUGCACUUAAUGGAUCAGCUGGCACCACCCAGAUGGAUAAACUGGCUCAUGUGAUCUUGUGGCCCCCACCCAGGAACUGACUCAGUGCAAGAAGACAACUUCAAUUCCCUAUGAUUUAAUGUCCUACCGAAUCAAUCAGCACUCCUGACACACUGGCUUCCCCUCACCCACCAAAUUGUCCUUAAAACCUCUGAUCUCCAAAUGCUUGAGGAGACUGAUUUGAGUAAUAAUAAAACAAGGCUCCUGCACAGCCGGCUCUGCGCGAAUUACUCUUUCUCUACUGCAGUUCUCCUGUCAUGAUAAAUCGGCUCCAUCUAGGCAGCCAGCAAGGUGAACCCACUGGGUGGUUACAGGCCACGCUAAGUUCGGGAGAAAUUUAGUUUAUGGUUUAAAUGAUAACAGCCCUUCCCCAAAACUAAACUGCCCUGGUAAAACUAAUGAAAGGCCGCCAAGUUAGGAGGAUGACAGGGGCCUGAAUUCUACUGAGCCGUAAGCGUAAUUACCGGCCAUUAUUCCAGAGGACACAAGAUUUGCAACUUGCCUAAUUACUCCUGCAAAGAACAUCGCUACUGUAGCACCUGAGAAUGGCCUUUUGAGAUGUGUUUUCAGGCUUUUGCACUUCUGACAACUGAUGGCUGCACUUGGACUCGCCAGCCGGUCCCGCGUCCCCACCAGAAGCAGAGUAAGCACAAGAGGACAGCUCCGACUCCCUAGGAUUUCAGCUCUGACCAGUCGCACGCCUGGCUCACUGGCUUCCCCACACCCACCAAGUUGUUCUUAAAAACUCUGCUGCCCGAAUGCUCAGGGAGAGUGAUUUGAGUAAUAAUGAAACUGUUGUCUCCUGCACAGUCGGCUCUGCGUGAAUUACUCUUUCUCUAUUGCAAUUCCGCUCUCUUGAGAAAUCGGCUCUGUCCAGGCAGCAGCAAGGUGAAGCCACUGGGCGGUUACACUGAUAUGAUUCCCCCUUUGCAGUUUUUACUCUCUUGGUGCUGCAAACAGUUCCUCACUGAGGACCCUUGUACACGUAUCACUGUGAGCAUGAAUCCGAAUUUCUUUAGGAGACAUACAUACUAGUGGGUAUGUGCAUGUUAUGUAAUUUCUCUUAGCACUGUUUCCUCACUCAUCAAAUAAGGAUCAAGUAGUUCUCACCACACAGGGUUAUUUUAGAAAUAAUUUAGUAUACAUAAUAUACAAUGCAAUAACAAGUACUGAUGUCUACUUCUUUUAGGUUAUAUGAUAAUACCUUAUACAUAGUACAUGUGUGAUUAUAUAUAUUGCAAUGUAGAGUACGAUCUAUAAUUUACAGAACUGUUGUUUAUAUAUAACAAAUGCUGUCCUUGCGAUAGUUUGCUCAGAAUGAUGGUUUAUGUAUACAUAUGUAACAAACCUGCACGUUGUGCACACGUACCCUAGAACUUAAAGUAUAAUUUUAAAAAAUGCUAUAAUUCAUGUGGUGAUUAUUAUCUACCAGUUACAUCAUCGAUAGAAUGAGGACGUUGUUAACGGUACACGCCAGACAGGAUGGCUGUGAGGAUCUGUGAUAAUAAGAAUUAGAUAUUUGGUCUUUGUCCCUGUUUCCUGAUGGAGGCUUCUAAACCCCUUGGAAUUCCCUGACUGAUAGGGGCAAGAGGAAAUCUUUUGUUAUUCCUAACGAGCCCCUUUCAUCCAUGCCUGUGUUUAUGCUAAUGAGGUGACUCCUGGAGGAUGAGGGCUGGUUGCCAGGGGAAUCAACUUUGCCUUGCAACUUUCAGCUCCAGUCCGUGACUUCCAGGGAAAGAACAGGGGCUGGAGAUUGAGUUUAAUCGCCAAUGACCAGUGAUUUGAUCAUUCAUGCUUAAAUAAUGGAACCAUAAGAAACCUAAAGAAAAGGUUUGGAGAGCUGCUGGGUUCAGGAGCACAUUCGUGUGCUGGGAGGGUGUUGUGCCUGGUGAAGGUGUGGAAGCGCUGACUCUGCCUCGCAUACCUUGUCCUGUCUGUGUCUUUCAUCUGGCUGUUGCUGAGUUGUGCUGUUUAUAAUAAUAAACUGGUAACAGGAAGUAAAGCA